This 254-nucleotide ribosomal RNA is filed under the name uncultured fungus. RNAcentral's name for it is "partial small subunit ribosomal RNA". It matches the Rfam family "Eukaryotic small subunit ribosomal RNA", at positions 430 to 683 of the family's 1831-position model. Lineage: Eukaryota; Fungi. The record is from RNAcentral.
AGGCGCGCAAAUUACCCAAUCCCGACACGGGGAGGUAGUGACAAUAAAUAACGAUACUGGGCUCUUUCGGGUCUAGUAAUUGGAAUGAGUACAAUUUAAAUCCCUUACCGAGGAACGAUUGGAGGGCAAGUCUGGUGCCAGCAGCCGCGGUAAUUCCAGCUCCAAUAGCGUAUAUUAAAGUUGUUGCCGUUAAAAAGCUCGUAGUUGAAUUUCCGCGGACUCGCGGGGUCCGCCUCGCGGCGAGUACUUCGCGG